CUCCAUUCCAUCUUCGCCCAUCGAGAGUAGGUCAGUGAGGACGGCGGGUCAUUGCGAGAGAGGGUGGUGCGAGGUGUAAUGAAGUGGAACAUUGAUCUCGGAGUCUUAUACCAAACCACAAAAAGUCUACUAAGCAGUCUAAACAGAUCAUGUUUUUCUGGGUCCCUUAUAAGACAUUGCUCAAUCACGGUUAUCAUCCAAAAUAGUUGGUACAAGUCAUGGCAAUCAAGAAUCCUUUCAUCAAUCAGUUCAGGGUAGUUCCUCUCAUGCAGAAGUGGUCUUGCCUGCAGAGAAGGAAACACAUAAUUGAGGAUAAUAUAUAGAUGCAAAGAUAGUUCAAACCUUUUGCAACUCCAAUAGCUAUCUUCAGCCUUUGUCCCCAAGUCAAAAGGGAUGAACUGUUUUCUGCAUGAAAUUGACCAAAAAAAGUGUCCUUAAACUUCGAAGAAGAAAGGCUCUAGGUUAAGCUUUCUUUCAGCAUAAAAUUCCAAUAAGGUUUUGUUCUUCUAGAGUAUAUUUUUUUAUUAUAUUGGUAUGAAUGCUACAAUCUAGUUGAGCAGGUUUGGAAAAUCCACUAGCAUUUCUUUGCUAUGAGACAUACUCAUAGACAAGCAACCUGUGAUUUCUUUCUGAGCAUGAACGAAUAACAUGACGAAAAAAAAGUGUCUUAAACUUUGAAGAAGAAAGGCUCUAGGGCACAUUCAGAUUUUGGAUAUUCUCUCCAAAAAAAAGAAUUAUCCACGUUGCCUUCAGCUUACUGACAGCUUCAAGGGCAGCUACUUUCGGUGAAGAUGCCGCAACAACACUUAUGUUGAAUGCAAUCUAGCAUUUCCAACAAUUAGCCAGUGUUACCUUCUUGGAUUCAAAUAGCUCACGGAUGGGCAAUAACUCUGCACUUCUCUGGUAUUCUUCCUCCUUCCUUGCAACUUCCUCGCUGAUGAUCCUAGUGUUUGUCGCCAACACAGAGUUGGAAUCUAUCUUGCUUCUGUAGCCCACUGAAACCAAUUGCUCUAAGAUGGAAAAAUAACGUACUAGGGGUGUUAACAUGGUGAAGAACUCCAAGGAGAGUGAGUUCAUCCCCGAGUUUAAGGGAAAGACCAUCAAUGGCCCAUUUGAUUGCGCUGGAACUUAAAUCUUUUGAUGCGUCCUGGAUCACCACCACCCUUUGAGGUGCAGUGGGCAUGCCGCCACCACCAGUUGCCGAAGAACUUGUCAUCAAAGAACAGCUUGACUACCGAUGAAGAUGAACAAAGUAGCAAAACAAUCCUUAUUUCCUAACAAAGCCGGCAGCAUGCUGUACACACAAUUUCUAAGGUUGCCAGUAGGGGAUGGUUUCUGUUACGUACAGAAGAGCGGACUUAGUCAUCGAGCGGGCAGAUCAGCCGAGCUGUAGGUCUGUGUUGCAGAGCGACUUGAGCAGGUCUGCAAAGCGGUCUUGACAGAGCGGUCUUGACAGAGCAAUCUUGACAGAGCAGGUCUUGUGAUGUGAGCUCAGAAGAGGUAUUGAAGGGAAUUGGGGGACCCAUGACGAAAUCCAAGACUAAGAGAAUGAAGCAAGCUUUCGAAGGCUUAAUAAUGGGGCUCAAGGAA
This is a long non-coding RNA of Zingiber officinale, 1590 nucleotides long. RefSeq lists it as uncharacterized. NCBI's taxonomy places the organism in Eukaryota, Viridiplantae, Streptophyta, Magnoliopsida, Zingiberales, Zingiberaceae. The record is from RefSeq and is a predicted model, not a curated record. The transcript is spliced from 10 exons.